UCAGGAUGAACGCUAGCUACAGGCUUAACACAUGCAAGUCGAGGGGAAACGAUAGAGAAAGCUUGCUUUUUCUAGGCGUCGACCGGCGCACGGGUGAGUAACGCGUAUCCAACCUGCCCACCACUUGGGGAUAACCUUGCGAAAGUAAGACUAAUACCCAAUGAUAUCUCAAGAAGACAUCUGAAUGAGAUUAAAGAUUUAUCGGUGAUGGAUGGGGAUGCGUCUGAUUAGCUUGUUGGCGGGGUAACGGCCCACCAAGGCGACGAUCAGUAGGGGUUCUGAGAGGAAGGUCCCCCACAUUGGAACUGAGACACGGUCCAAACUCCUACGGGAGGCAGCAGUGAGGAAUAUUGGUCAAUGGACGAGAGUCUGAACCAGCCAAGUAGCGUGCAGGAUGACGGCCCUAUGGGUUGUAAACUGCUUUUAUAAGGGAAUAAAGUGAGUCUCGUGAGACUUUUUGCAUGUACCUUAUGAAUAAGGACCGGCUAAUUCCGUGCCAGCAGCCGCGGUAAUACGGAAGGUCCGGGCGUUAUCCGGAUUUAUUGGGUUUAAAGGGAGCGUAGGCCGGAGAUUAAGCGUGUUGUGAAAUGUAGAUGCUCAACAUCUGCACUGCAGCGCGAACUGGUUUCCUUGAGUACGCACAAAGUGGGCGGAAUUCGUGGUGUAGCGGUGAAAUGCUUAGAUAUCACGAAGAACUCCGAUUGCGAAGGCAGCUCACUGGAGCGCAACUGACGCUGAAGCUCGAAAGUGCGGGUAUCGAACAGGAUUAGAUACCCUGGUAGUCCGCACGGUAAACGAUGGAUGCCCGCUGUUGGUCUGAAUAGGUCAGCGGCCAAGCGAAAGCAUUAAGCAUCCCACCUGGGGAGUACGCCGGCAACGGUGAAACUCAAAGGAAUUGACGGAAGGG
Molecule: ribosomal RNA, 907 nt
Filed under: uncultured bacterium
Lineage: Bacteria
Description: bacterial SSU rRNA
Rfam family: Bacterial small subunit ribosomal RNA
Source: RNAcentral